This 257-nucleotide ribosomal RNA is filed under the name Escherichia coli. RNAcentral describes it as "partial 16S ribosomal RNA". It matches the Rfam family "Bacterial small subunit ribosomal RNA", at positions 1 to 254 of the family's 1533-position model. Lineage: Bacteria; Pseudomonadati; Pseudomonadota; Gammaproteobacteria; Enterobacterales; Enterobacteriaceae. RNAcentral also lists the same sequence under 1 other name. The record is from RNAcentral.
AAAUUGAAGAGUUUGAUCAUGGCUCAGAUUGAACGCUGGCGGCAGGCCUAACACAUGCAAGUCGAACGGUAACAGGAAGCAGCUUGCUGCUUCGCUGACGAGUGGCGGACGGGUGAGUAAUGUCUGGGAAACUGCCUGAUGGAGGGGGAUAACUACUGGAAACGGUAGCUAAUACCGCAUAACGUCGCAAGACCAAAGAGGGGGACCUUCGGGCCUCUUGCCAUCGGAUGUGCCCAGAUGGGAUUAGCUUGUUGGUG